RNAcentral lists this transfer RNA (77 nucleotides) under Candidatus Sumerlaeia bacterium. RNAcentral's name for it is "tRNA-Val". It matches the Rfam family "tRNA". Rfam says of the family: Transfer RNA (tRNA) molecules are approximately 80 nucleotides in length. Their secondary structure includes four short double-helical elements and three loops (D, anti-codon, and T loops). Further hydrogen bonds mediate the characteristic L-shaped molecular structure. tRNAs have two regions of fundamental functional importance: the anti-codon, which is responsible for specific mRNA codon recognition, and the 3' end, to which the tRNAs corresponding amino acid is attached (by aminoacyl-tRNA synthetases). tRNAs cope with the degeneracy of the genetic code in two manners: having more than one tRNA (with a specific anti-codon) for a particular amino acid; and 'wobble' base-pairing, i.e. permitting non-standard base-pairing at the 3rd anti-codon position. The record is from RNAcentral. Lineage: Bacteria; Candidatus Sumerlaeota; Candidatus Sumerlaeia.
GGGCGCUUAGCUCAGCUGGUUAGAGUGCCUGCUUGACAUGCAGGAGGUCCGCGGUUCGAGUCCGCGAGCGCCCACCA